GUCGCCGCACAAUCGGCGACCGGGCUUGGCAGCCUGAAUACAAGCGGCGCAAUAGCGCCCAUCGACCGAUGUCUGGCGCUUUUUU
RNAcentral lists this small RNA (85 nucleotides) under Xanthomonas oryzae pv. oryzae. RNAcentral's name for it is "isrK". Lineage: Bacteria; Pseudomonadati; Pseudomonadota; Gammaproteobacteria; Lysobacterales; Lysobacteraceae. The record is from RNAcentral.